Molecule: long non-coding RNA, 1107 nt
Organism: Bos taurus (domestic cattle)
Lineage: Eukaryota; Metazoa; Chordata; Mammalia; Artiodactyla; Bovidae
Source: Ensembl
GAAGAAAGCUGAGCGCUGAAGAAUUGAUGCUUUUGAACUGUGGUGUUGGAGAAGACUCUUGAGAGUCCCUUGGACUGCAAGGAGAUCCAACCAGUCCAUUCUGAAGAUCAGCCCUGGGUGUUCUUUGGAAGGAAUGAUGCUAAAGCUGAAACUCCAGUACUUUGGCCACCUCAUGUGAAGAGUUGACUCAUUGGCAAAGACUCUGAUGCUGGGAGGGAUUGGGGGCAAGAGGAGAAGGGGACGACAGAGGAUGAGAUUGCUGGAUGGCAUCACUGACUCGAUGGACGUGAGUCUGAGUGAACUCCGGGAGUUGGUGUUGGACAGGGAGGCCUGGCGUGCUGCGAUUCAUGGGAUUGCAAAGAGUCGGACACGACUGAGCGACUGAACUGAACUGAACAGAACCUUUUGUUGGUUAUACAUGUUGCAAAUAUGUUCUUUCAAUGUGUAUCAUGUAUUUUUACUUUAGUUAUAGUAUAUUUUAAGGAACAGAAGUUUUCAGUGUCAAAGAUUUUCAAUCCAUCCUUUUAUGAUGAGCAUAGAAUUAGGAAAUAAGAAAGGUGUUAUAGUCUGUAUUAAUUGCUGUUAUUUCCUGUGCUCAGGAUCUUUUGCUGGUCCCAUGAAGAAUUUAGUAUGAUCUUUACUAUGAAAAAUUCUGAUUGUCAGAAUAGUUCAUUCCACAUUUCUCGAGAUUUUGAUGAUUCAGAGGAAAAGAGAUUGGGUAAAUCUGUUGGUAACUGAUAUACCAAGUUCACUUAAAGAAAGCUUGAAGUCUUCUUGGGAUCAUAGGGAAGGUGAGAAAGAAAAUGAAAGGAUGAGAGUGUCUCUUUUACAUUGUUUUGAAAGUUCAAGGAAGUGAUUAACCAUAGAAUCCUAUAGCAAAUUCCAUAGACAAUGGGAAAAAACAACUCAUCAAGAUUGUACUUCCCUGAUUCUCUUACAUGACUUCUCUGAGCUACUCCCUCCGGGCGGAACCCCACAGCUUUCAUUUUUCGUGAGAAGUGACAGUAUGGCGAUCCAUUCAGUGUCACAGCAAUCCAAGUCUGUACCCCAACUACUAAUGCUGAAGAAGAUGAAGAUCUUCUAAAAGAUGUACCAAACCUUCUAGAA